RNAcentral lists this long non-coding RNA (261 nucleotides) under Erythranthe guttata (spotted monkey flower). RNAcentral's name for it is "long non-coding RNA (EGUT_LNC002145)". Lineage: Eukaryota; Viridiplantae; Streptophyta; Magnoliopsida; Lamiales; Phrymaceae. The record is from RNAcentral.
AGUUUGAAGAACAUCAUCUAUGAAUUUUGAAUCCUCUCCACGCUGAAUUUUUUUCCGAUCACCUGGCAUCGCUCACGCAAGCAGAUAAAUCUGAGUCGGUGCCCCAAAUUAUCGCCCCAAAAUAUUCGUCAUAUAGACAACCGUCUCUCUAGUCCAAAUUGUUGGUGUUUUCUUGCCCACUCCAUUCUUAAUAAGCUAUACCCGGUAUGGACGCUAUCAAUUUUUGGAUUUGUUUAUUAACCUUUUAUUUUUUUAAAGAAG